Long non-coding RNA from Mus musculus (house mouse), 555 nucleotides. RefSeq annotates it as predicted gene, 33611. The transcript is spliced from 3 exons. The record is from RefSeq and is a predicted model, not a curated record. Lineage: Eukaryota; Metazoa; Chordata; Mammalia; Rodentia; Muridae.
GAAGAAAAAUGAACAGGAAGCAACGUAUGCAAGGGACAGCCUCCGCUUCUACAAGCCUCCCCAGAAACCAUGCUUACUGGGAUUGCAAGGGGAAACAGCGAAGGGAUAAGGUCAACAAGCUGCCUCAGCACCAAGAGACAGAUGCUUCGCUCUAAUUGCCUGAGAACUUUCUUCAGAAAGCCCAAGGGAGGGAAGACGUAGAGAAUGCGGGUGAGGAGAAGAAAAAGAGCAAGAGGAACAGCAACAGCGUACAGAAAACACAAGCUUUAAGGCAUGGGGUAAAAGGAUACACAGUCUAAAUUAAAUACAUUCUUAUGAUAAGUGAGUAACAACACAUACAAGAUGUUACGUCAACAAAUCUAUCUGCAGAUCCUCUCAAACUCUAAUUGUCUCUAUACUGCUCAUCUUUUAAUACCUCAGUUGGAGAAAGUUAAUGUCACUGGAUAUCCAUUCCGUGACAUUUACAUCCACGCUGUAUGCAGCCUAGCUGUCUGCCUUCUUGACAUAAGCUGGGAUCAUCUGGGAGAAAGGAACCACAAUUGAGAAAAUACCUCC